Humulus lupulus (European hop) is the source of this 2356-nucleotide long non-coding RNA. RefSeq lists it as uncharacterized. NCBI's taxonomy places the organism in Eukaryota, Viridiplantae, Streptophyta, Magnoliopsida, Rosales, Cannabaceae. The record is from RefSeq and is a predicted model, not a curated record. The transcript has 4 exons.
ACUCCAAAUGUACGAAAAUAACCCUUUACAUUUUUUUUCUUUUUUUUCUUUCUUUGCCCUAGAAUCUCUCUCUCUCUUUUUCCCGCCCUCUCUCUCAACCAUGAUCUCCUUCUCACUUCACGACAUUAUCUCCUCCAGUUCUCUGUCCAUUCUCUAGUGACACCGGCACCAACGACGAAGCUCUUCUCUCCUACAAUGCGUAAGAAUUUUAAUACGUUUGCUGCUUUAAUCACUCUGAUCGCGCCAAGGGUUUCAGUGGAGGAACAAGUGCAUCCGAUUGGCAACUGAGGACCGCCAGAGCGAAUUCGCUACCAUAUAGGAAGCUACUGAGGAUGCCAAAGUUGUAGAAGACGAAGAGAAAAGUCAAACAUUGACCACGAUAAUUGAUGCUACAGUUUCUAAUUGAUUUUGAUGAAUAUCUUGGAAUGGCUUAAUUUGUUGCUCUAUCUCCAUCAAUUAUGUAUGUUGCGCUCUUCAUUUAGGUUGUGAUUUUUACUUUCAAUUAGAUGUAUUAAUCUACUUUAAGAGUUAUUAUGAUUUGAUGUGAGUCGAACUUGUUUAUGCUUUGUUUUCUUACUGUAUUGUAUAUGCUCUAUUUUCACUUUAUUGUUUAUGCUGAUUGAAUUGUAUCAUAUAUACUUGAUUGAUCUAUACUUCUGCCUUUUCAAUUUGAUGGUUUCUAGAGCUUAUUGACUAAUAACUCGUAGCUUCAAUUGUUUCAAUAAAUUGUUGCUUAGACUUUGUGAGUGAGUUAGAGAGUGAGAUGGCUACUAUGUUGUAAAACAUUAAGUACAUUCUGACUAUUUCGUUAGUGAUGAGAAAGUGAGUGUUAAUAAUCUUUAUCAUCAUUCGUUGUUGUGUUGUGCUUUAAGACUUAAUACUAUGUUCUUUAUUUCUAGGUCUUUCUUCUAUGUAUCUAUGUAAUGAUCGAUCUGUUAUACCAAAUUAAUUAUGAAGUUUCUUGAUGAUCACUGUCUAUGUCUAUAUAUAUAUUGAUAUUGCAGAAAUAGUUUUUGUAAAAACACAACUCUUUUAUAGUUUUAAUUAAGUAUCUAUAUUGUUGAUUUCCUCUGCGAUUUUGUCUUAUUGCUUUUAUAAGUUUCCAUAGUCUUUUUUUGACCAAGUAUUUUUGCAGAUUUGUUAUAAAAAAUGUAGGAGUACACUGAAGAUGACCCAAAAUUUGACAUUAUGAUUCUUGUUUCUUAUUACUGUUUGGUUAGUGAGAAUGUGAGUGUAAUUAUCGUUCUCCUUUCUUUUCUACAUAAACCUAUCAUCAUAAAUAUAUAUUAAUGGUAUUAGUAAAUUAAUAUUGAUACAGUUGUUGCUCCUGCUUAUGGUUGCAAGUGCCAUAUGUGAGGUUAUUUCAUAUGAUGCUGCUUCUAUUGAGAAAGCUAAUAUUCAGAUCAGAAGUUCUCCUGUUAACAGAUGAAAAUGUUGAUUUUUUCACCGAUUAGUUUUGCCUUUUGAUUAUUGCCUUUGAUCUUUGUUUUGGUACCCUUCUUUUAAAACAUUUUUCAUGUCAAUCACCUUAUUAUAUUCUUAAGCUAUGAGGGUUACUGGACCAAAAAUUUUAGGAGCAGACAUAGAAGAAAAACUUGGAGAUAUAAAUCAGCCUUUAAUUACUACUAUAGACUCAUUGUUGGCCUUUGAGUUACGAUAUCUAUUUAUUACUUACCUUUAGAAGUAAUUUACUUUAAACAUUUUAAAUCUACUGUGAUUUUAUUACUAUUGAAAAUAUUGUACUCUAUAAAAUCUGCUUAUGGUUGCAAGUUCUAUAUGGAGUAUUACUAAUUUGAUUUCUUAUUGUUGGACCGAGGAUGAGGAGCUGUAAACAACAGAAUUUAAACCAUGAAAAAGCAUGUUGUGUUAUAUUAAGAGGAGAUGAUUCAGGUGUGGAUGCAUUACAUAUUUAUGCUAGGCAAUUGAAAAGGAAGGUUGAAGGAGGAGAGAAUAUCUACAAAGUCCAGUUAGCAUGUGUCUUCAUUCCCUUGUAUUCACCAAUUAUUUAGUCUGAAGAAUUACAUGUCCCCUGCUUGGAAGUGUGAGAUGAAGCCAUUGAAAAAGAAAAAGGCCUCAUGAGCAAGAAGCUUUCAAAGAUUUAUAAGAAUAAGGAUCGUAUGAGAUUACAAUUAGCCAUCCUAUGAGGUGAUGAAGAGAGCUAUACAAAAUUUGGAUGCUUGUAAUUAAUAAAGAGAAAGCAUUGGACAAAUGUUACAAUUUGUAUUUUAUUGGACUUGUUAGACAUUAUAUUCUAAGCAUGAGUACUUUUAUUAUGGUAUAUUUUUUACUUAAUUUUUUUUAUUUGGGACACAUGUAUUGGAUAUUUUGGUUAAUACAAGAAAAUACAUUAGACUUG